This 486-nucleotide ribosomal RNA is filed under the name uncultured bacterium. RNAcentral's name for it is "partial 16S ribosomal RNA". It matches the Rfam family "Bacterial small subunit ribosomal RNA", at positions 30 to 507 of the family's 1533-position model. The record is from RNAcentral.
AUUGAACGCUGGCGGCAUGCCUUACACAUGCAAGUCGAACGGCAGCACGGGUGCUUGCACCUGGUGGCGAGUGGCGAACGGGUGAGUAAUACAUCGGAACAUGUCCUGUAGUGGGGGAUAGCCCGGCGAAAGCCGGAUUAAUACCGCAUACGAUCCACGGAUGAAAGCGGGGGACCUUCGGGCCUCGCGCUAUAGGGUUGGCCGAUGGCUGAUUAGCUAGUUGGUGGGGUAAAGGCCUACCAAGGCGACGAUCAGUAGCUGGUCUGAGAGGACGACCAGCCACACUGGGACUGAGACACGGCCCAGACUCCUACGGGAGGCAGCAGUGGGGAAUUUUGGACAAUGGGCGAAAGCCUGAUCCAGCAAUGCCGCGUGUGUGAAGAAGGCCUUCGGGUUGUAAAGCACUUUUGUCCGGGAAGAAAUCCUUGACUCUAAUACAGUCGGGGGAUGACGGUACCGGAAGAAUAGGCACCGGCUAACUACGUG